RNAcentral lists this ribosomal RNA (232 nucleotides) under uncultured Bacteroidota bacterium. RNAcentral's name for it is "uncultured Bacteroidetes bacterium partial 16S ribosomal RNA". It matches the Rfam family "Bacterial small subunit ribosomal RNA", at positions 796 to 1031 of the family's 1533-position model. Lineage: Bacteria; Pseudomonadati; Bacteroidota. The record is from RNAcentral.
CACGCCGUAAACUAUGAUCACUCGCUGUUGGCGAUACACAGUCAGCGGCUAAGCAAAAGCAUUAAGUGAUCCACCUGGGGAGUACGGCCGCAAGGCUGAAACUCAAAGGAAUUGACGGGGGCCCGCACAAGCGGAGGAACAUGUGGUUUAAUUCGAUGAUACGCGAGGAACCUUACCUGGGCUUAAAUGUGGAGUGCAUUGGUGAGAAAUCAUCAUUUUCUUCGGAACUCUC